This 484-nucleotide ribosomal RNA is filed under the name uncultured bacterium. RNAcentral's name for it is "bacterial SSU rRNA". It matches the Rfam family "Bacterial small subunit ribosomal RNA", at positions 28 to 507 of the family's 1533-position model. The record is from RNAcentral.
GAUGAACGCUAGCGGCAGGCUUAAUACAUGCAAGUCGUGGGGCAGCAGGGGUAGCAAUACCCGCUGGCGACCGGCAAACGGGUGCGGAACACGUACGCAACCUUCCUUUAACUGGAGAAUAGCCCCUCGAAAGAGGGAUUAAUACUCCGUAACAUAUAGAUGUGGCAUCACAAUUAUAUUAUAGCUCCGGCGGUUAAAGAUGGGCGUGCGCCUGAUUAGAUAGUUGGCAGGGUAACGGCCUACCAAGUCUGCGAUCAGUAACUGGUGUGAGAGCACGACCAGUCACACGGGCACUGAGACACGGGCCCGACUCCUACGGGAGGCAGCAGUAAGGAAUAUUGGUCAAUGGACGCAAGUCUGAACCAGCCAUGCCGCGUGGAGGAUUAAGGGCCCUCUGGGUUGUAAACUCCUUUUAUCUGGGAAGAAAUGCAUUUUUCUAAAGUGCUUGACGGUACCAGAGGAAUAAGCACCGGCUAACUCCGUG